Molecule: ribosomal RNA, 469 nt
Filed under: uncultured Pelotomaculum sp.
Lineage: Bacteria; Bacillati; Bacillota; Clostridia; Eubacteriales; Desulfotomaculaceae
Description: bacterial SSU rRNA
Rfam family: Bacterial small subunit ribosomal RNA
Source: RNAcentral
GGGGCCCGCACAAGCGGUGGAGCAUGUGGUUUAAUUCGACGCAACGCGAAGAACCUUACCAGGGCUUGACAUCCCCUGACCGCGUAUGAAAGUACGUUUUCACCUUCGGGAGACAGGGAGACAGGUGGUGCAUGGUUGUCGUCAGCUCGUGUCGUGAGAUGUUGGGUUAAGUCCCGCAACGAGCGCAACCCCUACGUUUAGUUGCUAACGCGUGAAGGCGAGCACUCUAGACGAACUGCCGUUGACAAAACGGAGGAAGGUGGGGAUGACGUCAAAUCAUCAUGCCCCUUAUGUUCUGGGCUACACACGUGCUACAAUGGCCGGUACAGACGGACGCAAAGCCGCGAGGUGGAGCAAAUCCUAAAAAGCCGGUCUCAGUUCGGAUUGCAGGCUGCAAUUCGCCUGCAUGAAGUCGGAAUCGCUAGUAAUCGCAGGUCAGCAUACUGCGGUGAAUACGUUCCCGGGCCUU